This 310-nucleotide unclassified non-coding RNA is filed under the name plant metagenome. RNAcentral's name for it is "partial contains 5.8S ribosomal RNA, internal transcribed spacer 2, and large subunit ribosomal RNA". The stretch from base 1 to 105 matches the Rfam family "5.8S ribosomal RNA", at positions 50 to 154 of the family's 154-position model. The record is from RNAcentral.
GAAAUGCGAUAAGUAGUGUGAAUUGCAGAAUUCAGUGAAUCAUCGAAUCUUUGAACGCACAUUGCGCCCCUUGGUAUUCCAUGGGGCAUGCCUGUUCGAGCGUCUUUUGUACCCUCAAGCUCUGCUUGGUGUUGGGUGUUUGUCCCCGUCUCCGCGCGUGGACUCGCCCCAAAGUGAUUGGCAGCCGGCGUACUGGUCCCGGAGCGCAGCACAUGUCGCGCAAACGAGUGCCUUGGUACGGCGGCGUCCAUAAGCCCCUCUCUCACGCUCUUGACCUCGGAUCAGGUAGGGAUACCCGCUGAACUUAAGC